This 253-nucleotide ribosomal RNA is filed under the name uncultured bacterium. RNAcentral's name for it is "partial 16S ribosomal RNA". It matches the Rfam family "Bacterial small subunit ribosomal RNA", at positions 524 to 776 of the family's 1533-position model. The record is from RNAcentral.
UACAGAGGUCUCAAGCGUUAAUCGGAGUCACUGGGCUUAAAGGGUGCGUAGGCGGCGCCGCAAGUGUAUUGUGAAAGCCCACGGCUCAACCGUGGAAUGGCUCGAUAGACUGCGGUGCUUGAGGUUGGUAGGGGUCGCUGGAACUCUAGGUGGAGCGGUGAAAUGCGUAGAUAUCUAGAGGAACGCCAAAGGUGAAGACAGGCGACUGGGCCAAUUCUGACGCUGAGGCACGAAAGCGUGGGUAGCGAACGGG